UACGUAGGGGGCAAGCGUUGUCCGGAUUUAUUGGGCGUAAAGAGCGUGUAGGCGGCCAGGUAGGUCCGCUGUGAAAACUCGAGGCUCAACCUCGAGAUGUCGGCGGAAACCACUUGGCUAGAGUCCGGAAGAGGAGAGUGGAAUUCCCGGUGUAGCGGUGAAAUGCGCAGAUAUCGGGAAGAACACCUAUGGCGAAGGCAGCUCUCUGGGACGGUACUGACGCUGAGACGCGAAAGCGUGGGGAGCGAACAGG
RNAcentral lists this ribosomal RNA (253 nucleotides) under uncultured bacterium. RNAcentral describes it as "partial 16S ribosomal RNA". It matches the Rfam family "Bacterial small subunit ribosomal RNA", at positions 524 to 776 of the family's 1533-position model. The record is from RNAcentral.